This 253-nucleotide ribosomal RNA is filed under the name uncultured bacterium. Its description in RNAcentral is "partial 16S ribosomal RNA". It matches the Rfam family "Bacterial small subunit ribosomal RNA", at positions 524 to 776 of the family's 1533-position model. The record is from RNAcentral.
UACGUAGGGUCCGAGCGUUGUCCGGAAUUAUUGGGCGUAAAGGGCUCGUAGGCGGUUUGUCACGUCGGGAGUGAAAACUCAGGGCUCAACCCUGAGCGUGCUUCCGAUACGGGCAGACUAGAGGUAUGCAGGGGAGAACGGAAUUCCUGGUGUAGCGGUGGAAUGCGCAGAUAUCAGGAGGAACACCGGUGGCGAAGGCGGUUCUCUGGGCAUUACCUGACGCUGAGGCGCGAAAGCGUGGGGAGCAAACGGG